GGCCGCGGUUGUCUGCAGCAUCAAGUACAGCCUCCUCUCCGGUGAGCCCACCUCCUACCUCUAGCUCCCUUUUUUGUGCUGUUGUAGAAGUACCUUGCUCUAUUCCAUGGCCAUAAUAUUUUUUUCAUAAAAUGCUCUAGUGAACAGGAUUUAUACAUAAGUUGGCUACUUUUCCUCAAGUUAUUUGUGCAUUUAUAAACUAUUUGAACUUUUCUAUUUCUUGAAUGUAUCCAUCCAUAAAUGUUUUAUACAGAUAGUUUUGGAAUGUGUUUUUUGUUAGCUUAUGUCGUGCAUCACAAAUGGAUCAAGUUCCAGUUUUAGUUUUGUUGUUAUUAAUCUCUACAAUCCUGUCAGCAUAAUAAGUAUGUGAAUGAAUCCGAUCGAGUAUCUAAAACUAGAUGUUUCGUUGCCCAUAGUAAUUAAAAAGAGCAGUUAGUUUCUCAUUACACACUAUUAUUAUCACUUCAUGACUUGAUCUAUUGUAUUAGGCUGUUGUAGGUGCUGAACUGUGAUCAUGUUUUAUGGCCCACAUGCAUGCUACGUGUUGGCUGACUUGGCAUGACGUGCAUGAAAACUUCUGGGCACUCAUACUGAAUAGCACUUCUUGAUUUUCAUGCAGACUUGCUCUAGCUCUUCUUAUUUUUCAUGCAUGUUUCUUUCCGGACUUAAUUUUACUAAAUAGCACCCCAUCACUUGCUGCCGUUGUUAUUCACUAUAUCCUUGCUGUUAUGUUUUCUUGUUGGCAGAUAUUUUGCCUAAAUUCAAGACGAAAGAAGAUGUUCAAAGAAGCGCCAAGACAUUUUUGUAUAGCAAGUUAUGUAAUAAUAGCUGGGUUAUCUGGGCAUUGUGAACUCCAGAAUUUCAUGUAUCUUCUCUCUGUUUUUGAAUGAAAUGUUGUAUGUGUGUUGAUGUAACAGAUUGUUGCUUCUUGUUAUUUGAAGUAUUACACUUGUUUUUUGUCUAUUUUGAUUUAAAUAUUG
This 980-nucleotide long non-coding RNA is filed under the name Triticum aestivum (bread wheat). RNAcentral's name for it is "long non-coding RNA (TAES_LNC020020)". The record is from RNAcentral. Lineage: Eukaryota; Viridiplantae; Streptophyta; Magnoliopsida; Poales; Poaceae.